RNAcentral lists this ribosomal RNA (272 nucleotides) under uncultured bacterium. RNAcentral describes it as "partial 16S ribosomal RNA". It matches the Rfam family "Bacterial small subunit ribosomal RNA", at positions 524 to 794 of the family's 1533-position model. The record is from RNAcentral.
UACAGAGGUCCCCAAGCGUUGUUCGGAUUCACUGGGCGUAAAGGGUGCGUAGGUGGUGAGGUAAGUUUGACGUGAAAGCUCCGAGCUUAACUCGGAAAUUGCGUUGAAUACUAUCUUGCUAGAGGGUUGUAGGGGGGACUGGAAUUCUCGGUGUAGCAGUGAAAUGCGUAGAUAUCGAGAGGAACACCAGUGGCGAAGGCGAGUCCCUGGACAACUCCUGACACUGAGGCACGAAAGCUAGGGGAGCAAACAGGAUUAGAUACCCUGGUAGU